This 568-nucleotide ribosomal RNA is filed under the name Naganishia uzbekistanensis. RNAcentral describes it as "eukaryotic LSU rRNA". It matches the Rfam family "Eukaryotic large subunit ribosomal RNA", at positions 110 to 668 of the family's 3401-position model. The record is from RNAcentral. Lineage: Eukaryota; Fungi; Basidiomycota; Tremellomycetes; Filobasidiales; Filobasidiaceae.
AAAUUUGAAAUCUGGUAGCCUUCGGCUGCCGAGUUGUAAUCUAGAGAAGUGUUUUCCGUGCCGGCCCAUGUACAAGUCCCUUGGAACAGGGCGUCAUAGAGGGUGAGAAUCCCGUCCUUGACAUGGACCCCCGGUGCUUUGUGAUACACUUUCAACGAGUCGAGUUGUUUGGGAAUGCAGCUCAAAAUGGGUGGUGAAUUCCAUCUAAAGCUAAAUAUUGGCGAGAGACCGAUAGCGAACAAGUACCGUGAGGGAAAGAUGAAAAGCACUUUGGAAAGAGAGUUAAACAGUACGUGAAAUUGUUGAAAGGGAAACGAUUGAAGUCAGUCAUGCUCUUUGGAUUCAGCCGUUCUGCGGUGUAUUUCCAUUGAGUGGGGUCAACAUCAGUUUUGACCGCUGGAUAAAGGCACUAGGAAGGUAGCACUCUCGGGUGAACUUAUAGCCUAGCGUCAUAUACAGUGGUUGGGACUGAGGAACGCAGCAUGCCUUUAUGGCCGGGAUUCGUCCACGUACAUGCUUAGGAUGUUGACAUAAUGGCUUUAAACGACCCGUCUUGAAACACGGACCA